CUACCUUUCGGUCGCCGCCCCGCCCAUUCCCCGUUACCCGGGGCGCCGAUGGCGAGCCAAGUUCCUUUGAUCGUCCCUUACUACUUGGAUAACCGUAGUAAUUCUAGAGCUAAUACAUGCGUCAAUACCCCUGUGGGGUAGUAUUUAUUAGAUUGAAACCAACCCCUUCGGGGUGAUGUGGUGAUUCAUAAUAAGCUUGUGGAUCGCAUGGCUUCUGCCGGCGAUGGAUCUUUCAAGUUUCUGCCCUAUCACCUUUGGAUGGUAGGGUAUUGGCCUACCAUGGCUUCAACGGGUAACGGGAAAUGGGGCGGGGGCGGCGGGCCGGGCGCGGGGCGCGCCGGGCGAAA
This 347-nucleotide ribosomal RNA is filed under the name uncultured eukaryote. RNAcentral's name for it is "bacterial SSU rRNA". The stretch from base 49 to 347 matches the Rfam family "Eukaryotic small subunit ribosomal RNA", at positions 103 to 374 of the family's 1831-position model. The record is from RNAcentral.